ACGGCGAGGCUAAAUAUUCUACGGGGGGGCAGCAGUGGGGAAUAUUGCACAAUGGGCGCAAGCCUGAUGCAGCCAUGCCGCGUGUAUGAAGAAGGCCUUCGGGUUGUAAAGUACUUUCAGCGGGGAGGAAGGGAGUAAAGUUAAUACCUUUGCUCAUUGACGUUACCCGCAGAAGAAGCACCGGCUAACUCCGUGCCAGCAGCCGCGGUAAUACGGAGGGUGCAAGCGUUAAUCGGAAUUACUGGGCGUAAAGCGCACGCAGGCGGUUUGUUAAGUCAGAUGUGAAAUCCCCGGGCUCAACCUGGGAACUGCAUCUGAUACUGGCAAGCUUGAGUCUCGUAGAGGGGGGUAGAAUUCCAGGUGUAGCGGUGAAAUGCGUAGAGAUCUGGAGGAAUACCGGUGGCGAAGGCGGCCCCCUGGACGAAGACUGACGCUCAGGUGCGAAAGCGUGGGGAGCAAAACAGGAUUAGAUACCUUUGGGUAGUCCCAACCGCCGUAUGGG
RNAcentral lists this ribosomal RNA (502 nucleotides) under uncultured Escherichia sp. RNAcentral's name for it is "bacterial SSU rRNA". It matches the Rfam family "Bacterial small subunit ribosomal RNA", at positions 318 to 808 of the family's 1533-position model. The record is from RNAcentral. Lineage: Bacteria; Pseudomonadati; Pseudomonadota; Gammaproteobacteria; Enterobacterales; Enterobacteriaceae.